RNAcentral lists this long non-coding RNA (479 nucleotides) under Setaria italica (foxtail millet). RNAcentral describes it as "long non-coding RNA (SITA_LNC005950)". Lineage: Eukaryota; Viridiplantae; Streptophyta; Magnoliopsida; Poales; Poaceae. The record is from RNAcentral.
UAAUCUUAUCUCUAAAUAACAAAUUUAAUCCUAGGGCUGCUGGGAACAUAACCGCGGAUGACCAGUACACCAGCCCUUCAAUGGGUUGGGGCUGCUCCAUCUCAUGGGCCCCAAUGGGCUGCACAUGACAGCUGACAUCCUGCAAGUCCAUGUAAUAAGUCAAUGACAUGAUGGACUACAAAAGCAUGGGCAACAAGAAGCUGCUAGAAAAAAACCUUUGAACAGAGGUGGAAAAUUCAGAAUGAAGGUCCUACCUGUGGAUAACUUCCCAACUCUGAACUUGGCACAUAUCAAUGCAGGCACACCUCUGCAAGAAACGGCUUAUUUCCCCAGCUAUCAGCAAAUGUAGUAAGACCAACUAUCUGUACAAGAACGAGCAUUGGAAUAACAUUUCAGUCAACUGUAUUGGUAGAUGCCUCUUACUCAGUGUUGCUCAUCUAUCGUGUUUUGAACCUUUUUGGAUGCCAGGAACUUCAAAG